RNAcentral lists this ribosomal RNA (378 nucleotides) under uncultured bacterium. RNAcentral describes it as "partial 16S ribosomal RNA". It matches the Rfam family "Bacterial small subunit ribosomal RNA", at positions 338 to 733 of the family's 1533-position model. The record is from RNAcentral.
CCUACGGGUGGCAGCAGUGGGGAAUAUUGCACAAUGGGGGAAACCCUGAUGCAGCGACGCCGCGUGAGUGAAGAAGUAAUUCGUUAUGUAAAGCUCUAUCAGCAGGGAAGAAAAUGACGGUACCUGAGUAAGAAGCCCCGGCUAACUACGUGCCAGCAGCCGCGGUAAUACGUAGGGGGCAAGCGUUAUCCGGAUUUACUGGGUGUAAAGGGAGCGUAGACGGCAGUGCAAGUCUGGAGUGAAAGGCGGGGGCUCAACCCCCGGACUGCUCUGGAAACUGUACGGCUGGAGUGCAGGAGAGGUAAGGUGGAAUCCUAGGGGAGGGGGUGAAUGCGUAGGUAAUAGGAGGAAAAACAGGGGCGAAGGCCGCUUAACGGA